AGCUCCAAUAGCGUAUAUUAAUGUUGCUGCAGUUAAAAAGCUCGUAGUUGGAUCUGAGGACUCGAAUUGGUGGUGCAGCAAACGCUGUUACUGCCGAUUCGGCCUACCUAGUCGGUGCUCGCUCUUGGUGCUCUUAAUUGAGUGCCCUGAGUGCCCGACAUGUUUACUUUGAAAAAAUUAGAGUGCUCAAAGCAGGCCAUUAGCCGGAAUACUUCAGCAUGGAAUAAUGGAAUAGGACUUCGGUUCUAUUUUGUUGGUUUUCGGAACCCGAGGUAAUGAUUAAGAGAGACAGACGGGGGCAUUCGUACUGCGGUGUUAGAGGUGAAAUUCUUGGAUCGCCGCAAGACGAACAACUGCGAAAGCAUUUGCCAAGAAUGUUUUCA
Molecule: ribosomal RNA, 383 nt
Filed under: uncultured eukaryote
Lineage: Eukaryota
Description: SSU rRNA
Rfam family: Eukaryotic small subunit ribosomal RNA
Source: RNAcentral